This is a long non-coding RNA of Tetranychus urticae (two-spotted spider mite), 2352 nucleotides long. RefSeq lists it as uncharacterized. Lineage: Eukaryota; Metazoa; Arthropoda; Arachnida; Trombidiformes; Tetranychidae. The record is from RefSeq and is a predicted model, not a curated record.
AGACCAAAAGAGACAAUUUUUUUCCUUAGUUUCUAAAAAAUCAGUCAAAUAUAUUUUUAUAAUGGUGCCAAAAUUGACCCUCGACGACAUAGUUCAUAAAUACUGGUCUUGAAUUGGUCAAUAUGCUUCAAAGGCCAUUUGGAAAAGAUGGAGUAUUCGUUGACUCGAUUCCAACAUCAAAAAUAUCAAGAUUAUAACGAUAUUGAUGGCAAUUUUUGUGAUAAUGGCUGCUGUAUUUGUUCAAUUCUGAUUCAUCCGAAAUUCCUCUCUAGUAAAAAUCUUUCACACGUUAUUUGUAUUCGCUAGUAAAUUACUUUGUUCAUUUACGUCAAAGAUAAUGAACCUCAACCAAUUUACAUCUUCCUUUGCAAUAGCAAAUUUUUUUAUGGUUUAACUUCCCAUGUAUCAGUUGGGAACAAUAAAAUCAGCUGAAACUGCAAGUAAACUGAUUUAAGGAAAGUGUUGAAGCUGGCAACUAAGCAGUUAAAGGUCGAGUUGAAAACAUUGGUAACAUUUACUAAAUUUGGUGGUAAUAAAGCAAAUCAUUGGUACGAGAAAUCUCUUUGUUAAACCAUUUUGUCCAUAAAAUAAUGGGAAAAGAGAUGGAGAAAAGUUAAUAUGGUUGGCUGAUUAUUAAAAACAUGUUAUUAUCAACGACCCUAGUAUCAUUAUUACCAUCAUCAGGUUGAUUAUUAUUAUGAUCAUCAAACUAAACAACAUUCAAACUUCCCUUAACUGUUUACACUGUUUUAACUGUGUAUUAUUAUGUUUAUUAAAAUGAACAAAAUAUUCAGGAAAUGCUUUAGGCAAUGAUACAAUGACUUUGGAGUCUUUAGGAGAGAUCAACCCUUUUAUUAAUAAUGCAAAAUAUUAAUAUAAUUACAAUUAAUGUAAAAAAUUGGGGAAAUCAAAUGAUUAAAAAUUGAAUUGAGCGGUUAAAAGCAAUGGAAGACAUUGGAUUGGACAAUUGAGUGUGUCUUUAUGUUAACUGCUUUUUUAAAAUGUUACAACAUGUAGCAAAAACCAUUUUCAAUUUUGUUCAUAUUUUUAUUAUGAUUAUUAAUUAUCAUUGUAAGUCAAUGAUGAUAAUUUCAAUAACUCGUUAAAACAUUAGUGACUACCUGGUACUGAGAAAAUAAAAUGAAAACAAAAUUUAAUUGGAUAUGAUUAGAUAGUAAUUUUACAAUGAUAGCUGUUGUUACCUGUUGAUUUUACUGUUGAACUGCUGUUUUCUGGUGUCAACUUAUUAUCCAUGGGUCUACGUCUGUUGGUAUUAACAAUGUAUAAAGAUUGGUGGAAUACAAUUAACCAGCAGAUUCGCGCUGUCAAUUUUCUGGUGGAACAACAAUCGGUUUUACCAGUGAUUAGAUGACAUACACAUCAUUUGAUUGUCAAAUAAUGUGUGUUGGUUUAAUGAUCACCUAAACCAAUGGGUGACGAAACUAAUGGCUUACGUAUGUCUUGAUCUUUAAUUAGCAGCACAGUUUAAUACACGUGUGAUUGUGCUGUUAAUUUGGUUAAGGUCAAAGAAGUGGCGAUUUACUGAUGGAUUAAUGUGUUAAAGAUGAAUCAGGAAAUGGUGAUAAACAGGAAUAACAAUGCGAUGAUUAAGGAACCAAAUAUCAACAAGAUUUUAAAUAUCUAUUAAAACCAAUCAACUUGGAAAUAUAGAAUAAUUAUCAUUUAAAUUGGAUCAGAUGAUUAGAGAGCCACUUACGGGGAUAACUGAUUGUCAUAAUGAUGUGACAAUAAUUGGACAGAAAGCCACAACAAUUAAUUGCUGUAAUUUGAUGUUAAUCACUGUUGCAGUAACCAGUGAUGUUAACACAAGGUAAAUGUAAACAAGACAAACAACGGAAAAGGUGAAGUGAUUUGAUUAAGUAUAACUAGACAAGAAAAGGGCGAUUAUGAUGAUCAAGAUGCUUGAAAAAAUGAAGAUGAAGUCCGUUAUUACACCUUAAUCUGAAGAAUAAGAAACUGAAAUUAGCUUGAAGCAAAAUUAAAGUCUGAUAAAUAAUAGUAACCGGUUUAGACCAUCAUUACCGGUAAACCAGAGAUGAUAACCAAAGAAAGUAGCCAACAAGAAGAAAAAUGAAGUUUCCUCUUUUUUUCAAGGAGAGUUUCUUAUUCAUCAUAAUCAUCAUGAAAAGAUUUGCUUUCUUCUUUGUUGAGGUCAUUGAAUUUGUAAAGCUUAAAAGGCAAUGUUAACAUUAGAUUCAAGUUUAGAGUCUAACCAUUUUCAAGGGUUGAAAUGCUUGUAAUCACCAUUAUUGAAAGACUUUUGAUUAAGCUGUCUUUCGCUGAUGUGAUUAUCAUUUCAUUGAUGAAUUAAAUUAAAGAUUAGCUAGUAAA